Molecule: ribosomal RNA, 840 nt
Filed under: Xanthoparmelia chlorochroa
Lineage: Eukaryota; Fungi; Ascomycota; Lecanoromycetes; Lecanorales; Parmeliaceae
Also listed under: 1 other name
Description: eukaryotic LSU rRNA
Rfam family: Eukaryotic large subunit ribosomal RNA
Source: RNAcentral
CAGUAACGGCGAGUGAAGCGGCAACAGCUCAAAUUUGAAAUCUGGCUCCUUCGGGGUCCGAAUUGUAAUUUGUAGAGAGUGCUUCGGGCGAGACCGCGGUCUAAGUCCAUUGGAACAUGGUGUCAUAGAGGGUGAGAAUCCCGUAUGCGACCGUGGCUCGAGCCCAUGUGAAGCCUCUUCGACGAGUCGAGUUGUUUGGGAAUGCAGCUCAAAAUGGGUGGUAAAUUUCAUCUAAAGCUAAAUACUGGCUGGAGACCGAUAGCGCACAAGUAGAGUGAUCGAAAGAUGAAAAGCACUUUGGAAAGAGAGUCAAACAGUACGUGAAAUUGUUGAAAGGGAAGCGCUUGCAACCAGACCUGCCCGUAGGCGAUCAGCCGCUGUUCUCAGCGGUGUACUCGCUCUGCGAUCAGGCCAGCAUCGGUUUCGGCGGUCGGAUAAAGGCCUUGGGAAUGUAGCUUCCCUUCGGGGGAGUCUUAUAGCCCUUGGUGCAAUGCGGCCAGCCGGGACCGAGGACCGCGCUUCGGCUAGGAUGCUGGCGUAAUGGUUGUAAGCGACCCGUCUUGAAACACGGACCAAGGAGUCUAACAUCUAUGCGAGUGUUUGGGUGUCAAACCCAUACGCGGAAUGAAAGUGAACGGAGGUGAGAACCCUUAAGGGCGCAUCAUCGACCGAUCCAGAUGUCUUCGGAUGGAUUUGAGUAUGAGCAUAGCUGUUGGGACCCGAAAGAUGGUGAACUAUGCCUGAAUAGGGUGAAGCCAGAGGAAACUCUGGUGGAGGCUCGCAGCGGUUCUGACGUGCAAAUCGAUCGUCAAAUUUGGGUAUAGGGGCGAAAGACUAAUC